Long non-coding RNA from Cloeon dipterum, 1382 nucleotides. RefSeq lists it as uncharacterized. The record is from RefSeq and is a predicted model, not a curated record. The transcript is spliced from 6 exons. NCBI's taxonomy places the organism in Eukaryota, Metazoa, Arthropoda, Insecta, Ephemeroptera, Baetidae.
GUAAAAACUGCUGCGCACAUCUUUCUCGCUCGCUCGCCUUCAUGGAAUAGAUUUUAUCAUUUUGCUCUUUUUACUCGGGGCGGCCGCCAAAAAUCAUUUUCGUUCGAAAUAUGACAUUUUCUCACACCAAACCUUCUGUCCUGUACUUAAAUAUAUACAAAUAUUUUGGGGUUGCAGUCUUUAGAGCCGAAGGGAUGUGGUUUGCUGUGGAAAGUGCAGGAAAUAUGAACUCACGGAAAUUUUCUUCCUUUCUUUCGAAUUUAUAACCAAACUUACCUUUUAACCAUAGGUUCAGCGCGCAAUGCAAUUUCGAAUCAUGGAUGUUUUCAUUGAUGUUCCCUGGCCCGAAGAAAUUAUGGACAUUUUCACCCUGUGGUUGAAUUGCAUUGAAGAGGAGGAGGUUUUACGAAUUAAUAAACUGACGUCCAAAGGAAAAAGAAGCUGCCCAGAGACUCGCUUUUGACUCCCGCAACAAUAUUUAAACUAUGGGGACUGCCUGUCGGCGCACGCAACCUGUACGACAGGUCACUUUUGCUCCCCACUCGCCGCUGCAGCGGCUAUCGUAUUCACAAACCCUGCAGCAGCCGAUGCGACAUGAGUGUUUAAGCUGGAUAGCAAAGCAAUCUCACGCUUGAGCUCUUGCACCACUCGUGUUUGUAAAGCUGUUGGCCGAGGGCACAUUAAGCGUGUGCUGAUAUAGAAAUUACGAUUUGAACCCGUAUGGGUUCAGACUCCACUUCGUUGCUACUUGGCAAAUAAAAGCACACAUAUAAGGAAUAGUUGAGGUGUUUGACUAUCAUACGCAGCCCGCUUAUUCGAGCACCCACACUGGUGAAAUCCCCGACGUGUUUGGAAUUACCUUAAGGAAGAUGCCUGACGUACCUAAAACAUUCAAGCCCCCUUUGUACUCACCGGACCACCCAGGGAUUUUUUUCAUCUUAUUGGAGGUGGAGUUUGAAGUCCACGGCGUCGUGGACGAGAAGGAUCAGUACCUCACCCUAGCUUCUGCCAUUCCAUACGGCCAUUUACCUGAGGCCGCGAUCGCCCUGAUCCGCAAGCCUCCGGCUGAAACGCCGUACGCUGCCCUGAAGGAUGCCAUUUUGAAAAAUCUGUGCCCUACGGACUAGGAGUCCUUGCUUUAAGAUGAUUAUUUUCAUGAUACUUUAUUCUUAACGUGUGCCUCAUUGCAUUUUAAUAUGUUUCAAUUAUUGUAAAAUUACUUUGCCUGAAAAAUGUGGAUUUAUUGUAUGCAUGUUAUUUUCCAGUUCAGACUCCACUUCGUUGCUACUUGGCAAAUAAAAGCACACAUAUAAGGAAUAGUUGAGGUGUUUGACUAUCAUACGCAGCCCGCUUAUUCGAGCACCCACACUAAUACAUUUUUA